Molecule: ribosomal RNA, 301 nt
Filed under: uncultured bacterium
Lineage: Bacteria
Description: partial 16S ribosomal RNA
Rfam family: Bacterial small subunit ribosomal RNA
Source: RNAcentral
CAGCCGCCGCGGGAAAACGUAGGUGGCAAGCGUUAUCCGGAAUUAUUGGGCGUAAAGCGCGCGUAGGCGGUUUUUUAAGUCUGAUGUGAAAGCCCACGGCUCAACCGUGGAGGGUCAUUGGAAACUGGAAAACUUGAGUGCAGAAGAGGAAAGUGGAAUUCCAUGUGUAGCGGUGAAAUGCGCAGAGAUAUGGAGGAACACCAGUGGCGAAGGCGACUUUCUGGUCUGUAACUGACGCUGAUGUGCGAAAGCGUGGGGAUCAAACAGGAUUAGAUACCCCCGUAGUCCCUGUCUCUUAUAA